Maniola jurtina (meadow brown) is the source of this 76-nucleotide long non-coding RNA. RefSeq lists it as uncharacterized. The transcript is spliced from 4 exons. The record is from RefSeq and is a predicted model, not a curated record. NCBI's taxonomy places the organism in Eukaryota, Metazoa, Arthropoda, Insecta, Lepidoptera, Nymphalidae.
AGUUACAUACCUGAAAUUUUGAUAUUUGGUGUAGACAUUGACCCAAAACCGAAUAUAAUCCUAACUGAUAACUUUC